RNAcentral lists this long non-coding RNA (399 nucleotides) under Mus pahari (shrew mouse). RNAcentral's name for it is "predicted gene, 23916 (MGP_PahariEiJ_G0032806.1)". The stretch from base 212 to 305 matches the Rfam family "Nuclear RNase P", at positions 127 to 223 of the family's 301-position model. The record is from RNAcentral. Lineage: Eukaryota; Metazoa; Chordata; Mammalia; Rodentia; Muridae.
GGCUUGAUGAAGCCCUAACUAUUAAUGUGAUAAGACCCCAGAGCAAUAUGGGGUCUGUUCCUAUACCCAUCUCCUUCUGGUCAUGAGGAAGCCUACACAAGGGGUGUGUAUGUGUGGUGCUGACUCCAAGCCUAAAUCUGAAGCAGGCAGGUGGCUCUGCUGUGUGCAGGUCUCCAUGGCCCCUGGGAAGGUGUCCCAAAGUAGGAAGGUAAGUUCCCAGAGAGCAGGGCUCCAAGUACGGACAGACUGGGCAGGAGAGGCCCUGAGUGGGUGGAUGUCUCCCUUGACAGAGCUUGGAACAGACUCCUGGUCAGCAGCUAUUGAGGCUGGCUUUCCCUUAACCUGCCCAGAUUGGGACUUCAAUACUGCUAAGGUGCGACUCUCUGUCUAUCACCAUUC